CCUAGUGGUGAUAGCGGAGGGGAAACACCCGUUCCCAUCCCGAACACGGAAGUUAAGCCCUCCAGCGCCGAUGGUAGUUGGGGCCAGCGCCCCUGCGAGAGUAGGUCGCUGCUAGGC
This 117-nucleotide ribosomal RNA is filed under the name Geobacillus genomosp. 3. The record is from RNAcentral. Lineage: Bacteria; Bacillati; Bacillota; Bacilli; Caryophanales; Anoxybacillaceae. RNAcentral also lists the same sequence under 1 other name.